CGUCGACCGGCGCACGGGUGAGUAACGCGUAUCCAACCUUCCCGUUACUGCGGGAUAACCUGCCGAAAGGCAGACUAAUAACGCAUGUUCUUCGAUGACGGCAUCAGAUUCGAAGCAAAGAUCCGUCGGUAACGGAGGGGGAUGCGUCUGAUUAGCUAGUUGGCGGGGCGACGGCCCACCAAGGCGACGAUCAGUAGGGGUUCUGAGAGGAAGGUCCCCCACAUUGGAACUGAGACACGGUCCAAACUCCUACGGGAGGCAGCAGCA
This 267-nucleotide ribosomal RNA is filed under the name uncultured Prevotella sp. Its description in RNAcentral is "partial 16S ribosomal RNA". It matches the Rfam family "Bacterial small subunit ribosomal RNA", at positions 89 to 355 of the family's 1533-position model. The record is from RNAcentral. Lineage: Bacteria; Pseudomonadati; Bacteroidota; Bacteroidia; Bacteroidales; Prevotellaceae.